UCCCAUAAGGGAUGAAGAAAGAGUGGUC
RNAcentral lists this non-coding RNA (28 nucleotides) under Rattus norvegicus (Norway rat). Lineage: Eukaryota; Metazoa; Chordata; Mammalia; Rodentia; Muridae. The record is from RNAcentral.